AUUGAACGCUAGCGGGAUGCUUUACACAUGCAAGUCGAACGAGUGGCGGACGGGUGAGUAAUAUAUCGGAACGUGCCCAGUAGCGGGGGAUAACUACUCGAAAGAGUGGCUAAUACCGCAUAAUAUUGGAGCGGCCGAUAUCGGAGUAGCUAGUUGGGGGGGUAAAGGAUCACCAAGGCAACGAUACGUAGAUGGUUUGAGAGGAGGACCAGCCACACGGGGAAUGAGACACGGCCCAGACUCCUACGGGGGGCAGCAGUGGGGAAUGUGGGACAAUGGGUGAAACCCUGAUCCAGCCAUCCCGCGUGUAUGAGAAGGCCUUCGGGUUGGAAAGUACUUUUGUCAGAGAAGCGGUAUCUGCAGAAUAAGCACCGGCUAAGUCCGUGCCAGCAGCCGCGGUAAUUC
RNAcentral lists this ribosomal RNA (405 nucleotides) under uncultured bacterium. RNAcentral's name for it is "partial 16S ribosomal RNA". It matches the Rfam family "Bacterial small subunit ribosomal RNA", at positions 30 to 526 of the family's 1533-position model. The record is from RNAcentral.